UUGGAAAGUCCGACACGAAUUUAGAUAAUAAUCCAAUUAUUCUGUAAAAACAGAAGAAUCCCUUUAAAAGAAAUUAAACAUUCUUUUUCUGUUUCUUCUUCUGAGUUGUAAAAAAAUUCUAGAAGAAUCCCCUAAAAGAAUUCGGCGAGCUGAUUAUUCUUAUCUUCGUCAUUUCCUAGAUAAUAAAUACAUAACAAAACUCGGCUUAU
This 209-nucleotide non-coding RNA is filed under the name Pneumocystis oryctolagi. Lineage: Eukaryota; Fungi; Ascomycota; Pneumocystomycetes; Pneumocystales; Pneumocystaceae. The record is from RNAcentral.